UAGUUAUUCUAUUAAAAAUAAGGGAGAAUCAAGAAGUUUUGAACUAUCGUGGUGUUUUGAAUUUUCAGAUGCUUCCUAAGAAAUUAAACUAUGGCGAAUCAGGUUGCGAGCAUGUUGGAUCGAGCAGGUCAAUGUAGGAGUUUAGGUAAUUCUAAGAUAGGGCACGGUUUUGCCUCAAGAAGAGGAUUUUGGUAAUUUCUAGUAGGACGAGAAUUGCACAAAGAAUAAAAACAAUAAGGAGAACGAAGAGAAAUCUCCAAUAAAGUCAAUUACAAUAGAAAAAAUAAUUGAGUGUAGACAAAACUCUCCAAGAUGGAAUCCAGAGA
Molecule: long non-coding RNA, 326 nt
Filed under: Phoenix dactylifera (date palm)
Lineage: Eukaryota; Viridiplantae; Streptophyta; Magnoliopsida; Arecales; Arecaceae
Description: long non-coding RNA (PDAC_LNC004738)
Source: RNAcentral